RNAcentral lists this ribosomal RNA (670 nucleotides) under uncultured bacterium. RNAcentral describes it as "bacterial SSU rRNA". It matches the Rfam family "Bacterial small subunit ribosomal RNA", at positions 56 to 773 of the family's 1533-position model. The record is from RNAcentral.
UGCAGUCGAGCGAGACCUUCGGGUCUAGCGGCGGACGGGUGAGUAACGCGUGGGAACGUGCCCUUUGCUACGGAAUAGUCCCGGGAAACUGGGUUUAAUACCGUAUGUGCCCUUCGGGGGAAAGAUUUAUCGGCAAAGGAUCGGCCCGCGUUGGAUUAGGUAGUUGGUGGGGUAAUGGCCUACCAAGCCGACGAUCCAUAGCUGGUUUGAGAGGAUGAUCAGCCACACUGGGACUGAGACACGGCCCAGACUCCUACGGGAGGCAGCAGUGGGGAAUCUUAGACAAUGGGGGCAACCCUGAUCUAGCCAUGCCGCGUGAGUGAUGAAGGCCUUAGGGUUGUAAAGCUCUUUCAGCUGGGAAGAUAAUGACGGUACCAGCAGAAGAAGCCCCGGCUAACUCCGUGCCAGCAGCCGCGGUAAUACGGAGGGGGCUAGCGUUGUUCGGAAUUACUGGGCGUAAAGCGCACGUAGGCGGACUGGAAAGUUGGGGGUGAAAUCCCGGGGCUCAACCUCGGAACUGCCUUCAAAACUAUCAGUCUGGAGUUCGAGAGAGGUGAGUGGAAUACCGAGUGUAGAGGUGAAAUUCGUAGAUAUUCGGUGGAACACCAGUGGCGAAGGCGGCUCACUGGCUCGAUACUGACGCUGAGGUGCGAAAGCGUGUGGAGCAAAC